UCGCCGAAAGACUAAGGUUUCCUGAUCAACGCUAAUCGGAUCAGGGUGAGUCGGCUCCUAAGGUCAGGCCGAAAGGCGUAGCCGAUGGGAAUCAGGUUAAUAUUCCUGAACCUGCGUCAGAUGCGAUGGGGGGACGGAGCAUGAAAGAUCAUCCGGGUGUUGGAAGUCCCGGUUGUUUAGCGUAGGAGGUCUGCAGGCAAAUCCGCAGACGAUUCUCCAAGGCAAAGACACGUGCCGCCACGGUGGCGAAGUGAUCGGAAGUGCUUCCAAGAAAAGCCUCUAAGCCCCAGUCUGACGCGGACCGUACCGCAAACCGACACUGGUGGGCGAGCUGAAUAUGCUCAGGCGCUUGAGAGAACUCAGGAGAAGGAACUCGGCAAAUUGACACCGUAACUUCGGGAUAAGGUGUGCCUUUGUAGCGUGAAGGGAGAAACACCCCUAGCGUGAAGAGGUCUCAGAUAAUUGGUGGCUGCGACUGUUUACUAAAAACACAGCACUCUGCAAAGACGAAAGUCGACGUAUAGGGUGUGAUGCCUGCCCGGUGCUGGAAGAUUAAUUGAUGGGGUGAAAGCUCCUGAUCGAAGUCCCAGUAAACGGCGGCCGUAACUAUAACGGUCCUAAGGUAGCGAAAUUCCUUGUCGGGUAAGUUCCGACCUGCACGAAUGGCAUAACGAUGGCCACACUGUCUCCUCCCGAGACUCAGUGAAGUUGAAAUGUUUGUGAUGAUGCAAUCUACCCGCGGCUAGACGGAAAGACCCCAUGAACCUUUACUGCAGCUUUGCAUUGAACUGUGAACCGAUUUGUGUAGGAUAGGUGGGAGGCAGAGAAGAGGCCACGCCAGUGGUCUUGGAGCCGACCUUGAAAUACCACCCUGAUUUGUUUGCGGUUCUAACCACGGACAGUGAUCCUGUCUUGGGACCGUGCAUGGUAGGCAGUUUGACUGGGGCGGUCUCCUCCUAAAGGGUAACGGAGGAGUGCGAAGGUACGCUAGGUACGGUCGGAAAUCGUACUGAUAGUGCAAUGGCAAAAGCGUGCUUGACUGCGAGACCCACAAGUCGAGCAGAUACGAAAGUAGGUCAUAGUGAUCCGGUGGCUCUGUAUGGAAGGGCCAUCGCUCAACGGAUAAAAGGUACUCUGGGGAUAACAGGCUGAUACCGCCCAAGAGUUCAUAUCGACGGCGGUGUUUGGCACCUCGAUGUCGGCUCAUCUCAUCCUGGGGCUGUAGUCGGUCCCAAGGGUAUGGCUGUUCGCCAUUUAAAGAGGUACGUGAGCUGGGUUUAAAACGUCGUGAGACAGUUUGGUCCCUAUCUGCCGUGGGCGUUGGAAGAUUGACGGGGGCUGCUCCUAGUACGAGAGGACCGGAGUGGACGCACCUCUGGUGUACCGGUUGUCACGCCAGUGGCAUUGCCGGGUAGCUAAGUGCGGAAGAGAUAACCGCUGAAAGCAUCUAAGCGGGAAACUUGCCUGAAGAUGAGUCUUCCCGGAGGUUGAACCUCCCUCAAGAGUCGUCCGAGACCAGGACGUCGAUAGGUCAGGUGUGUAAGCGCUGUAAGGCGUUGAGCUAACUGAUACUAAUUGCUCGUGAGGCUUGAUC
This 1594-nucleotide ribosomal RNA is filed under the name human metagenome. RNAcentral describes it as "bacterial LSU rRNA". It matches the Rfam family "Bacterial large subunit ribosomal RNA", at positions 1334 to 2925 of the family's 2925-position model. The record is from RNAcentral.